UACGAAGGUGGCAAGCGUUACUCGGAAUUACUAGGCGUAAAGGGCAGGUAGGUGGUUUGGUAAGUCUGUUGUGAAAGCUCCCGGCUUAACUGGGAGAGGCCAACGGAUACUGCCAGGCUUGAGUAUAGGAGAGGUUACUGGAAUUCCCGGUGUAGCGGUGAAAUGCGCAGAGAUCGGGAGGAACACCAAUGGCGAAAGCAGGUAACUGGACUAUUACUGACACUCAACUGCGAAAGCUAGGGGAGCAAACAGGG
This 254-nucleotide ribosomal RNA is filed under the name uncultured bacterium. RNAcentral's name for it is "partial 16S ribosomal RNA". It matches the Rfam family "Bacterial small subunit ribosomal RNA", at positions 524 to 777 of the family's 1533-position model. The record is from RNAcentral.